UGGGGGAUAUUGCACAAUGGGCGAAAGCCUGAUGCAGCGACGCCGCGUGGGGGAUGAAGGCUUUCGGGUUGUAAACCUCUUUCGCUAUCGAACAAGGCCCGCUUAGGGUGGGUUGAGGGUAGGUGGAGAAGAAGCGCCGGCUAACUACGUGCCAGCAGCCGCGGUAAUACGUAGGGCGCGAGCGUUGUCCGGAAUUAUUGGGCGUAAAGGGCUUGUAGGCGGCUUGUUGCGCCUUCUGUGAAAACGCGGGGCUUAACUUCGCGCGUGCAGGGGGUACGGGCAGGCUUGAGUGUGGUAGGGGUGACUGGAAUUCCAGGUGUAGCGGUGGAAUGCGCAGAUAUCUGGAGGAACACCGAUGGCGAAGGCAGGUCACUGGGCCAUUACUGACGCUGAGGAGCGAAAGCAUGGGUAGCGAGCAGG
Molecule: ribosomal RNA, 420 nt
Filed under: bacterium
Lineage: Bacteria
Description: partial 16S ribosomal RNA
Rfam family: Bacterial small subunit ribosomal RNA
Source: RNAcentral